GACGAACGCUGGCGGCGUGCCUAACACAUGCAAGUCGAACGGAAAGGCCCUGCUCUUGUGGCGCGCUCGUGUGGCGAACGGGUGAGUAACACGUGUGUAAACUGCACUUGACUUUCGGAUAACUUCAGGAAACUGCGGCUCAUACCGCAUAGAAGCUCCUGCAGCAUGGUGUGGGAUGGUGAGUUUCGGCGGUUGUGGCUGGUCUGGCGGGUUAUCAGCUUGUUGGUGGGGUAGUGGCUUACAAAGGCUGUGAGGGCUAGCCGGCAUGAGAGGGUUGCCGGCGACAAUGGGACUGAGAGAGGGAGCAGACGCCAACGGGACGCAGCAGGGGAGAAUAUUGCGGAAUGGGCGGGCGCCAGAUGCAGCAACGUCGCGAGCGUGAUGACGUCUUUCGAGUUGUAAACCGCUGUCGACUGUGACGAAGCGGUAUUGACGGUAAUUGGUAAAGAAGCACCGGCUAACUACGUG
This 468-nucleotide ribosomal RNA is filed under the name uncultured bacterium. Its description in RNAcentral is "partial 16S ribosomal RNA". It matches the Rfam family "Bacterial small subunit ribosomal RNA", at positions 28 to 507 of the family's 1533-position model. The record is from RNAcentral.